This is a non-coding RNA of Paramuricea clavata, 108 nucleotides long. The record is from the annotation of a GenBank genome assembly. NCBI's taxonomy places the organism in Eukaryota, Metazoa, Cnidaria, Anthozoa, Malacalcyonacea, Plexauridae.
CUUAUUGGAUGUAAUAAUUUUCUUUUUAGUAACGACCAGAAGGCUUUUUUUACAAUUUAUUAAAUUUGUUAUAAAAAAAAGCCUUCUGGUCGUUACUAAAAAGAAAAU